Molecule: ribosomal RNA, 164 nt
Filed under: Eurybia jonesiae
Lineage: Eukaryota; Viridiplantae; Streptophyta; Magnoliopsida; Asterales; Asteraceae
Description: 5.8S ribosomal RNA
Rfam family: 5.8S ribosomal RNA
About the family: 5.8S ribosomal RNA (5.8S rRNA) is a component of the large subunit of the eukaryotic ribosome. It is transcribed by RNA polymerase I as part of the 45S precursor that also contains 18S and 28S rRNA. Functionally, it is thought that 5.8S rRNA may be involved in ribosome translocation.
Source: RNAcentral
CAAACGACUCUCGGCAACGGAUAUCUCGGCUCACGCAUCGAUGAAGAACGUAGCAAAAUGCGAUACUUGGUGUGAAUUGCAGAACCCCGUGAACCAUCGAGUUUUUGAACGCAAGUUGCGCCCGAAGCCAUUCGGCUGAGGGCACGUCUGCCUGGGCGUCACGC